UAGUGACCGAUAGUGAACCAGUACCGUGAGGGAAAGGUGAAAAGUACCCCGGAAGGGGAGUGAAAGAGAACUUGAAACCGUGCGCUUACAAGUAGUCAGAGCCCGUUAAUGGGUGAUGGAGUGCCUUGUGUAGAAUGAACCGGCGAGUUACAAUCUGAUGCAAGGUUCCGCAGAACAUGUGGAGCCGUAGCGAAAGCGAGUCUGAAUAGGGCGU
Molecule: ribosomal RNA, 214 nt
Filed under: Staphylococcus hominis
Lineage: Bacteria; Bacillati; Bacillota; Bacilli; Caryophanales; Staphylococcaceae
Description: partial 23S ribosomal RNA
Rfam family: Bacterial large subunit ribosomal RNA
Source: RNAcentral